Ictidomys tridecemlineatus (thirteen-lined ground squirrel) is the source of this 107-nucleotide small nuclear RNA. The record is from Ensembl. Lineage: Eukaryota; Metazoa; Chordata; Mammalia; Rodentia; Sciuridae.
AUGUUUGCUUAGGUAGCAUAUAAACUAAAAUUGGAACCAUACAGAGACAAUUAGCAUAGCCCCUACACAAGAAUAACAUGCAAAUUUGUGAAGUGUUCCAUAUUUUC